Molecule: ribosomal RNA, 250 nt
Filed under: uncultured bacterium
Lineage: Bacteria
Description: partial 16S ribosomal RNA
Rfam family: Bacterial small subunit ribosomal RNA
Source: RNAcentral
ACGGAAGGCCCGAGCGUUAUCCGGAUUUAUUGGGUUUAAAGGGAGCGUAGGCGGGAGAUCAAGUCAGCUGUGAAACUGCGCCGCUCAACGGCGCCGAGCAGUUGAAACUGGUUUCCUUGAGUCCGCAAGAGGCGCGUGGAAUUCGUGGUGUAGCGGUGAAAUGCAUAGAUAUCACGAAGAACUCCGAUUGCGAAGGCAGCGCGCUGGGGCGUCACUGACGCUGAAGCUCGAAGGUGCGGGUAUCGAACAG